RNAcentral lists this ribosomal RNA (540 nucleotides) under uncultured Acinetobacter sp. Its description in RNAcentral is "bacterial SSU rRNA". It matches the Rfam family "Bacterial small subunit ribosomal RNA", at positions 86 to 619 of the family's 1533-position model. Lineage: Bacteria; Pseudomonadati; Pseudomonadota; Gammaproteobacteria; Moraxellales; Moraxellaceae. The record is from RNAcentral.
AUUGACCUAGCGGCGGACGGGUGAGUAAUACUUAGGAAUCUGCCUAUUAAUGGGGGACAACAUCUCGAAAGGGAUGCUAAUACCGCAUACGCCCUACGGGGGAAAGCAGGGGAUCACUUGUGACCUUGCGUUAAUAGAUGAGCCUAAGUCGGAUUAGCUAGUUGGUGGGGUAAAGGCCUACCAAGGCGACGAUCUGUAGCGGGUCUGAGAGGAUGAUCCGCCACACUGGGACUGAGACACGGCCCAGACUCCUACGGGAGGCAGCAGUGGGGAAUAUUGGACAAUGGGGGGAACCCUGAUCCAGCCAUGCCGCGUGUGUGAAGAAGGCCUUAUGGUUGUAAAGCACUUUAAGCGAGGAGGAGGCUCCUGUAGUUAAUACCUACAGUGAGUGGACGUUACUCGCAGAAUAAGCACCGGCUAACUCUGUGCCAGCAGCCGCGGUAAUACAGAGGGUGCGAGCGUUAAUCGGAUUUACUGGGCGUAAAGCGUGCGUAGGCGGCUGAUUAAGUCGGAUGUGAAAUCCCUGAGCUUAACUUAGGA